Molecule: transfer RNA, 71 nt
Filed under: Marmota monax (woodchuck)
Lineage: Eukaryota; Metazoa; Chordata; Mammalia; Rodentia; Sciuridae
Description: tRNA.Ala
Source: RNAcentral
GGGGUUGUUGCUCAGCGGUAGAGCGCUUGCCUAGCAUGUUUGAGGCACUGAGUUUGAUUCUCAGCACUGCA